AGGGUUAUAGCUCAGUUGGUAGAGCAUCUCGUUUACACCGAGGAGGUCUA
Molecule: transfer RNA, 50 nt
Filed under: Goodenia mimuloides
Lineage: Eukaryota; Viridiplantae; Streptophyta; Magnoliopsida; Asterales; Goodeniaceae
Description: partial tRNA-Val
Rfam family: tRNA
About the family: Transfer RNA (tRNA) molecules are approximately 80 nucleotides in length.
Source: RNAcentral